GACGAACGCUGGCGGCGUGCUUAACACAUGCAAGUCGAACGGAAAGGCCCUGCUUGCCGGGUACUCGAGUGGCGAACGGGUGAGUAACACGUGGGUGAUCUGCCCUGCACUUCGGGAUAAGCUUGGGAAACUGGGUCUAAUACCGGAUAGGAGCCAUCUUUAGUGUGGUGGUUGGAAAGUUUUUUCGGUGUAGGAUGAGCUCGCGGCCUAUCAGCUUGUUGGUGGGGUAAUGGCCUACCAAGGCGGCGACGGGUAGCCGGCCUGGGAGGGUGUCCGGCCACAUUGGGACUGAGAGACGGCCCAGACUCCUACGGGAGGCAGCAGUGGGGAAUAUUGCACAAUGGGCGCAAGCCUGAUGCAGCGACGCCGCGGGGGGGAUGAAGGCCUUCGGGUUGUAAACUCCUUUCGCUAGGGACGAAGCUUUUUGUGACGGUACCUAGAUAAGAAGCACCGGCUAACUACGUG
RNAcentral lists this ribosomal RNA (465 nucleotides) under uncultured bacterium. Its description in RNAcentral is "partial 16S ribosomal RNA". It matches the Rfam family "Bacterial small subunit ribosomal RNA", at positions 28 to 507 of the family's 1533-position model. The record is from RNAcentral.